RNAcentral lists this ribosomal RNA (271 nucleotides) under uncultured bacterium. RNAcentral's name for it is "partial 16S ribosomal RNA". It matches the Rfam family "Bacterial small subunit ribosomal RNA", at positions 524 to 794 of the family's 1533-position model. The record is from RNAcentral.
UACGUAGGGGGCGAGCGUUGUCCGGAAUUAUUGGGCGUAAAGAGCGUGUAGGCGGCUCGGUAAGUCCGCCGUGAAAGCUUGGGGCUCAACCCUAAGUUUGCGGUGGAUACUGUCGGGCUAGAGGGUGGUAGAGGCGAGUGGAAUUCCCGGUGUAGCGGUGAAAUGCGCAGAUAUCGGGAGGAACACCAGUAGCGAAGGCGGCUCGCUGGGCCAUACCUGACGCUGAGACGCGAAAGCGUGGGGAGCGAACAGGAUUAGAUACCCGGGUAGU